Long non-coding RNA from Bombyx mori (domestic silkworm), 1277 nucleotides. RefSeq lists it as uncharacterized. Lineage: Eukaryota; Metazoa; Arthropoda; Insecta; Lepidoptera; Bombycidae. The record is from RefSeq and is a predicted model, not a curated record. The transcript has 2 exons.
CACCUCUGAGGAAUAAAACAUUAGUUGAUGCACAGAUUACCGCUCGUUUUUUUAACACGCUUUAAUUUGAUUAGUACGUAUGUCAUUGAAUUUUUGAACGCGAUUUUUAAUCCCUUCACGAUGUGGUACUGAUUUGAAACUUGACUCACUUAUCAAGGGCCAAUGGCAAUACAAUAAUUGCCUGAUUAUCCUUAUCAGGAUCUUCAGGAUUAACGCUGAAAACACGGUAGUGUCUUGUGAUACGUAAUAAGCCGGGGGACGUUGCGACCUGCAAGCGCCGGCAAUUACCUGCCUGCCUCAACCACGCUCUGUGACAUCUGGAAAAGGAAUGUAUCCCCAGCACAUUAAUCACCCGUAAAUCGCUUAAGUUGACGUAAUAGUACUGAUGCAGGUGUAGAGAUUUUUGUUUUUCAUAAUUUAUUCAUUGAACGGAAAAUUUAGGUAUAACCAAAACAACUUUUUACGUCUUCAUCAAUAGUAAACAAAAUAGCAUACCAUCAGCUAACGAGCUAGGCAGUUUUUUCAAUCGAUUUUAAAUUUUAUUAUCGAUUUCAGGUCGAUGGUAUUUUAAGGUUUAAGGAUCAAAUAAUGAAAUGCCCUUUUAACAUUUGUCACUCUGAAGCCUGCCUUAAUAUCCACAGUACUAAAUUUGAACCAGUAGUAGCCAAUAAUAUCGCUUUAAAAUGGACAGAUUCAGUUUUUGAUUUUUAUCAUUCUGCAUUUUGGUAGUUCGUGAUUGGUCAAAUUCCUAUGCUCUAAUCGUGAUUUUCAUUGCAUUCUACAUAGAAGGAUAGGUCGUGCGGAAUUCCGUAGUUGACCGAACAUGUAGAAUGCAUGUAGUAUUCAGAGUUCUGGCACAAUGCUGAGGCCUGAUGUUGGGCGCAUCGAAGCGCGCGGUGCUCAAUAAAACGGUAUUGCCGACGUCGCAUCCCAACCCUCGAGUUUCCCAAAUUCCACGACGAGUGCAUACAUUUUUCACAUGUCUGUAUCGACGUCACACUGUAGUAAAUGCACGUGUCUGAGCUAUCUCUAAAUUUUUAGCGCAGCUUCCUUGAAUUUAUUGUGAUAUCAUUUUAAUGCCCUUCACAAGAUCGUGUUACAUUGUCUGCUUCAAAGAUUCUUUUAACAAGAAAGCUAAUAUAAGAAGCUUAAUGUACGUGUAUAGACUUUUUUCAAUAAGGAUGUUAUUUGUUUCGAUUGUAUAACUCUUAAAUUCUUGUUAUUGUGAUCAAUAAAAAAAUAAUAUGCAUUUAUUGAUUUCAUGUCAUUCACGAAAA